RNAcentral lists this ribosomal RNA (600 nucleotides) under uncultured bacterium. Its description in RNAcentral is "bacterial SSU rRNA". It matches the Rfam family "Bacterial small subunit ribosomal RNA", at positions 735 to 1339 of the family's 1533-position model. The record is from RNAcentral.
UGUAACUGACGCUAAAGCUCGAAAGUGCGGGUAUCGAACAGGAUUAGAUACCCUGGUAGUCCGCACGGUAAACGAUGGAUGCCCGCUGUUUGCGAUAUACAGUAAGCGGCCAAGCGAAAGCGUUAAGCAUCCCACCUGGGGAGUACGCCGGCAACGGUGAAACUCAAAGGAAUUGACGGGGGCCCGCACAAGCGGAGGAACAUGUGGUUUAAUUCGAUGAUACGCGAGGAACCUUACCCGGGCUUGAACUGCAGCAGAACGAUUCAGAGAUGAUGAGGCCCUUCGGGGCUGCUGUGGAGGUGCUGCAUGGUUGUCGUCAGCUCGUGCCGUGAGGUGUCGGCUUAAGUGCCAUAACGAGCGCAACCCCUUUCGUCAGUUGCCAUCAGGUUAAGCUGGGCACUCUGGCGACACUGCCACCGUAAGGUGUGAGGAAGGUGGGGAUGACGUCAAAUCAGCACGGCCCUUACGUCCGGGGCUACACACGUGUUACAAUGGGUGAUACAGAGCGUCGGCGCUUGGCAAUAAGCGUCCAAUCGUGAAAGUCAUCCUCAGUUCGGAUUGGGGUCUGCAACCCGACCCCAUGAAGCUGGAUUCGCUAGU